Long non-coding RNA from Cucumis melo (muskmelon), 497 nucleotides. RefSeq lists it as uncharacterized. Lineage: Eukaryota; Viridiplantae; Streptophyta; Magnoliopsida; Cucurbitales; Cucurbitaceae. The record is from RefSeq and is a predicted model, not a curated record. The transcript is spliced from 2 exons.
GGAAGUUUGAGAUGUUACACAAUUACCCUGUUUAAAUAGAACAGAAACAUGGGAGGAACUAACGAUGUUUGUUUAUUUAUUGCAUGUGUGUUUAUGGGGGAAACAGCAGCAUGGGAAGGCCUAAAUUUGCUAAGUAGAAAAAAAGUUGAGGGUUGCUUCUGGGAAUUGAAGUAGACGGCGGCAACAGGAAGUCCGAGGGCAUGCUGUGAGGCGAAUUGUCGAGUGCUGAAAUUGCUGCGGGUGGUGGGGGGUCGGAGCCUUCCGCCGAGAUGGGUGUUUUGUUUGAAAAAGGCAAAUACAUAACGGUGAAUGCCGGUUGGAGGCUGAGGACCCAUGUACUGCACCACCUCUUUUCCUGUUUUCAUCACAUACAAGAAAUGAAGAAAAACAGAGUAUGAGUUAUGAUUUUGAGAAAUGUAUUCAGUUUCUGGUUUUUAGUUUCUUAAACUUAGGCCUAUAUAUGAACACCUUUUCAAUAAGAAAAAAUUUGCUGAUCA